UUUAUUUUCUAUGAAAUUUGGAAUUUAAUUUUGGUGGUUAGUAAUUAAAUUAAAUCAUAUAGAUUGCUUAGCGUAACUUUUGUCAAAAGUUUUUAAUCACUUUCUCUUGUUAGUGCAGUGACAGUAGAUAAUUAGCGAGGUUUAUGAAGUAUGUUAUGCAACGUGUCAUACGUCGGCGUGAACAUCCUAAUUCUAAUUUGUAAUUAGUUAUAUAAUUGACGUUUUAACUAGUUAUAAGUUAAUUUAGUUUCGUGUUACGGAAAAUUGUUAAUGCUGACUUUCAUUUGCUUAAUUGUUUAAAAUUCAUUACACUUGUCUAUAGAAACCAGAACAAUAAAUAUGAAAGUUACAAUAUAUACACUUACUAUGAAAGAAGAAAUGAAGC
Molecule: long non-coding RNA, 385 nt
Organism: Cotesia glomerata
Lineage: Eukaryota; Metazoa; Arthropoda; Insecta; Hymenoptera; Braconidae
Exons: 3
Source: RefSeq, a predicted model, not a curated record